CUGUAAUCUUGUAAGUAAUAAGUAAUUUAUGGUGAAUAGACUGCCCAUUACAAAAAUAGACAGCACAAAACUUUUCAAAGAAGUUAAUACAAAUAAUGCAAAUAACCAUAUCCAGGGGAGGAAGAAAAUAAUGUGACAAGCUCACACAUUAGAGUUCUUUUUGUUUAUAGAAUGUUUCCAAGUUAAGAAAUUCUUAGUGAAAAUAAAUCAUGUCAUUACUUAAGAGGAGGUGCUUCAGUACACACUACUCCAUGCCUUCUCACGUAUCAGCAGAACUCAGAGACAGUUCACCGCAGUAUAACUCUGUCUGGCACUUUUGCAAAUUCCUGAGAUUGAGCUUCUACAGAACUGCUAUUGAAUCAUGUCAAUAUUUAAUCAGCACCUAAAGACUGCUGGAAAUAAAUAUUUAGAGACAGUGCUUCUAUUUUAUUGUUUCAGUGCACUGAAGAAGUAGGGAAGAAUGCACUUCUGCAUCACCCUUUGAUUUGAUGCAAUUUAAAUUCUCAGUGCUUAUUCUUGCAAGUGAGGAAGAGAUUAAGAACUGGACUCCAAGAUUUUACAAGCUGUAAUGAAGUGACUAAGUGAAGAAUUUCAUUUUUCAAUCUUUUAUUCAGGCAAACGUCUGUUAAAGUCACUGGUAUCUGCAGCACAGAUCUCUUAAAUAUCUCUUAAGAUGUAGGUGGCUAACUAGCAAUUUGGAAAGAAGCCAGUUAAGAUGAAGAAUGGAAAAGAAAACUCAAGAGAUCCUGAUUUACAGUUCUUUAAUCUGUCUCCCAGUAUUGCAACGACAAAUAUUAAUGACAAUGUAGAAAUAAACAAGGACAACGAAGGGCACGCAAAGAAGAACUGCAGAAGGGUCAGCCUCAGUCAGAAGGAUAAAGUUCGUGUCAGUGCCAACGGCAGAAGAAUUCAGGAAGCCAACAAUAAAUGGAAACAAUGUGAGAAGAGCAGGUGUGUUUUCACUCAGAGGAAGCAGCUACGGAUAUGAAAAUGACUUAGCAGCUGGUGAAUAAGGAGACUGAAGCUGUGCCAGACAAACUUUACAGAUAAGGCUGUGUUCAAACAAGCGCAGCGCCAGAACACCAAAUCUACACAGGAUAUGACUUGAAGCUUUCUCUUCUUGAAGUUGGUAAAGAUUUACCACAGAAAUUCAGCAGGAUGAUUUAUCUUCGGUGUAUGAGGAUAUCAACAAAUUUUAGUUAAAACUUGAGAGGAAUGAUUGUUUGAUGACUGCUCAUACCUUUCUUGUUUCACCUGGUGAUAGACUUUCAGUGCAGUGGUACACAGUAAGAUUUACAGGAACCCUCAACUGAGCACCUUAUUUUCUCUUGCACACUCUGAGUAAUCAAGCUCAGAACCACUAAAUUCUCAGUGAGCGAUGAAGAAAGGCAUGCUGUCAAAGUCACAAAGCUAUCUUUUCAUUUAUAAAACAAUUUAAAAUAAAACAGGAGCUGGAACAACUAUAUCAACAAGAGAAAGGCUGAAGAGAUGAAUCACUCCAAAAUAUUUUUUCAGUGUGCAGAGAAACAGAAAUAUUUCUUUUUGAAUUCCAUGAUAUCAUACAAUCAAGCAAUAUUGAGAGUACACCAACCCAAUGCAUUAGGGAAGUUAUAGGUACGUUUUCAGUUGCUAUAUCAUCCUGCAAAAAUAAUUAAAAAGUGGACUGGCAUUUUCCUUAAAAAUAAAAAAUAAAAAAAUAAAAACAAAUUAAAGCAUUUCAGUAGCUUUCCCUACAAUUUUUUCUUUAGGAGGAAGCUUGGAAUGUUUAUGCUAUUGUAUGGAUUUUACGUAUAGUUGAUUAGAUCCAAAACUAAAGAAAACUAGGGAAAAUUAACUUGUAUGCUUGGAGAUUCUGUUCAAAGUUCCUGGAUUAAAUAAGCAGCAUUAAAAUUAUAGAUGUCAUCACCAUUUAAAUAAUGGGGAAAACCUUUCACCGCCACAGGUUUUGAGGUCCUUUUCCUACGAUCUGUUUACAACCCACUGAACCCUGCUGUGUAUUCACAUUGAUCUUUCUUCUGCUAAGCUUUGUGAGUAGUUACAGUGAUAGCUAACAACAAAAGCCAUGAAAUUAUGGAGCUGAUCUGUUGGUCACUGCAGUGUAACUGUAAGCAUAGUCAAAGACAAACUAUGGAAAGCAUCUUUAGAAACCUGCUAUAAUUCAGUGAUCACCACCCGUAAUGAAAAUGCUGAGUCGUGGCCUGAGCCAGUGAUUGAGCACCUGGUGGGAAGGCAGGGCCAACCCAGGGGAGCUCAGGUGCAUGCAAUGCAUUGAGUGACCGGAAGGGGUGGAGCCAGGAUCCAUCUCUUCCCAGAACUCUUUAAAGGGUUGGCAAAGGAAAUGAGGACAUCUUUUGUUGGAGAUCCCUGCAUACCUGAGGCCUUCCAAAGGCAAGCAGCUCUUUUCCUUUGUUUCUGCAUCUGUGGCUGCUGCAUCUGGGCUCAUUCUUGUUUGCUACAGCCAAAGACUUUGCCACCCCACUAUUACUGCGGUACUUUCCAUCCCAUUAUAGCAUUACGCCAUCUAUAAAAGUAUCAAAAUGUUUCAUUUUUCAACUGAAUAUUCUGAAAUAAUAAAAAUAUAUAUUCUAAAUGGAUGUUGCAAGAUCUUUUGGAACUGCUGCAAUUGCAAUGUUCCCUAUCCUUUCACA
This 2648-nucleotide long non-coding RNA is filed under the name Gallus gallus (chicken). RNAcentral's name for it is "lncRNA (ENSGALG00010021968.1)". Lineage: Eukaryota; Metazoa; Chordata; Aves; Galliformes; Phasianidae. The record is from RNAcentral.